This 23-nucleotide small nuclear RNA is filed under the name Arabidopsis thaliana (thale cress). RNAcentral describes it as "snRNA_05726". Lineage: Eukaryota; Viridiplantae; Streptophyta; Magnoliopsida; Brassicales; Brassicaceae. The record is from RNAcentral.
GAAGAGGGGCGUCUCCUACGCCG